Non-coding RNA from Bactrocera oleae (olive fruit fly), 3265 nucleotides. The record is from RefSeq and is a predicted model, not a curated record. NCBI's taxonomy places the organism in Eukaryota, Metazoa, Arthropoda, Insecta, Diptera, Tephritidae.
GAAUCGGAAUCGAGUUUGCCAUCCCUAGUCCGGCUUUUAGGACAAACAAUAGUUGCCGAUAUCAUUGUAUAAUCCUAGAUUUCGACAAUGGCCGAUAUACGAUAAUAGAAUUGGGCAAACAAUAUAAACAAGUUAUUGUAAUUAAUUUGUUAUUUGCGCUUUGUAAGCGCAAUGUAUUCUUCUGCCAAAAAGUUACAACGAGUGUUAUCCUCACAGGAAAUCCGUAAGACAUUCAUUGACUAUUUUAAAAUAAACCAUGACCAUAAAUUUGUGCGGUCCAGUCCGGUAGUGCCAUUCUGUGACCCGACCGUGGCAUUCGUUAACGCUGGUAUGAAUCAAUUCAAGUCAGUUUUCCUGGGUAAAGCUCAACCGCCUUAUCCCCGAGUAACCAAUUCGCAAAAAUGUGUUCGAGUUGGUGGUAAACACAAUGAUCUUUCUAUUGUCGGCCAGGAUAGCUAUCAUCAUACUUUUUUUGAAAUGUUAGGAAAUUGGUCUUUUGGAGAUUAUUUUAAGCGUGAAGCCUGUGAACUAGCCCUAGAACUUUUACGUGGUCCGUAUAACAUCGAUCCAAGUAGAUUAUAUGUAACAUAUUUUGCAGGCGAUAAGAUACUUGGUUUGCCAGCGGAUUUGGAAUGUUACGAAAUAUGGCGUAGUUUAGGUUUUCCCGUUGAAAGAAUAUUACCAUUUGGUUGUAACGAAAAUUUUUGGGAAAUGGGUGCGACUGGCCCAUGUGGUCCCUGUACAGAAAUUCAUAUCGAUCAUUGUCCAACAAAAGGUCAUGAACGGGCGAAGUUCGUUAACACUGACAGAUCAGAUUUAACCGAAUUGUGGAAUUUGGUUUUCAUACAAUACUAUCGAAACGAAAAUGGAUCUGUAACACAAUUACCCGCACAACAUGUAGAUACAGGCAUGGGAUUCGAAAGACUAACUGCCAUUUUACAAAAUAAAUCAUCCAACUACGAUACAGAUCUUUUCAUGCCAAUUUUCAACGCCAUUCAAAAAAUAACACACGCACCCCAUUAUGGUAGUAAAUUCCCAACCCCACUAGAAGACGCUACACUGGACACUGGAUAUAGAAUUCUAGCAGAUCAUACUCGUAUGAUAUCGAUUUGUUUAGGUGAUGGAAUGUUACCGGAUCAAAACCAAAAACUACGACGGGUUUUACGCAAAGCAUUUACCAUAAGUGAAAAUAUAUUUAAAUAUGAGGAGUUGGUAUCACAACUUAUUCCUUUAGUAAUAGAUACAAUAGGUAUGGCGUAUCCGGAAUUGUAUAAUAAGCAGAGUUCCAUACUCGAGUUAAUAGCUCAUGAACGCGAAAUAUUCAAGGCAUUGCGAGAAAGCUCUUCGAGGGCAUUUGCUGAGAUCCUAGUGAAAUACCCCAACCUGGAAGAAGUUGAUUUAAUGGAAUGUCCCGGCUUUGUGUCAGCUUAUCGAGAUUUUCAAAUUCAACGGGAAACAUUUAAUAACAAUAUAUUACCCGGUAAAUUUCUGUUCAAACUUACGGAUACUUACGGUUUAACUGAGGAAAAUUUCAAAAGACUUGCUGAAUUAGAGAAUAUGGAAUGUGAUUUCAAUGGUUACUUGAAGGAAAUAGCGAAAGCAAAGCUAAGAUCCAAAGCUUACUUAAACGAUGGUGGCAGUGAAAACAAGCUAGAAAAUCAACAUCAGAUAAACGAAGCACUCCUACUUCUUACGCAGAAACUGAAUUACACAGAUAAUAGUACGAAAUAUAAUUAUAGUUAUGAUAUAGAUAAAAAACGGUAUAAUAUUCCUUGUGUUUCGGCCCGAGUUACUGGUAUGGUAUUUCAAGGCAAAGAAUCAAACACAGUGUUAUUGAAUAACUCACAAUCCGAAUUAUUAUAUGUGGCGACAGACAUCACAAACUUUUAUCAUGAGUCUGGUGGACAGCAAGCUGAUAUUGGCACCAUGCUUUUAACAUCUGAAACAAAUGGCGAAAUACUUGAGUUGCCUGUCAGAGAAGUUAAAGCUAUGAAUAAUUGUAUUAUACAUGUAUGUGAUUUGUCGAAUGUUGAAAAGGAUUUUAUAUUGAAAACAGAUGCUCAUAUAAAGCUCUUAGUAGAUGCUAAUCGCCGUCAGCUGACAACAUGUCAUCACACAGCAAUCCAUUUGUUAAAUGCUGCCAUCCGUUCGCUGUUCAAAAAGGUCACGUAUCAAGUCUCCAGUGCCGUUACGACUGAUAACUUCAAGCUUGAAGUAGGUCUAAUUGGUAAACGCAUUAAAAAGGAGGAUAUUACACAGCUGGAAGACAUGAUUGUAGGUACCAUAAACUCAAAAGUGCCAGUGGAUGUGAAGAUCAUAAACGCCAGUGACGUAUUACAACAGGACGAUAUUACAAUGGUACCUGGGGAAAUAUAUCCUGAGUCUGGACUACGAUUGAUAAGCAUAAAAUGUGAGAACCCUCAAUUGUUUUCCAAGGAGUUGUGUUGCGGAACUCAUGUGACAAAUACACAAGAAAUAGAAUAUUUUUGCAUCACGAACCUUAGACAAACGAAUCGUGCACGAUUUUCUUUUACAGCAGUUGCAGGAGGACCCGCAGAAAAUUCGUGUUUUAUAGGCAUUAAGAAUAGCAGCUCUCUUACAACACCGCGUAGACAUGCUUGAUGAACAGUUUAAGACUGAUAAAGUUACAAAUGCCACUGAGAUUGAACUGCAAAAGAUACGCCACAAUUUGAUACAUAUGGAAGUUGCGUUACCAUACGUUUUUAAGCUUAACACCAUAGCACGCAUUAAUGACAUGCUCAAAAAGCUUAAGGAAACAACCCGGACAACUUUAAAAGAAUUUGUCGAGGUCGAAAUGAGAACGUUAUUACAAGAAAAAUCUAUUAAAAGUCAUCCCUUCAUUGUGCAUUACAUCACAAGCUCAGCACUGGUCGAGGAGGUGCCACUGCAAAGGGCUACAAAACUUUGUACCGACCGUCCGAUACUUGUAGCUAGCAUGUGUGAUAGCAUCGUUAAAGCGCGUUGUUGUGUGCCCAAGAAAUUUGUCAGCGAUCAUUUUGAUGCCGAACAAUGGCUAAAUGAAUUCGCAGUGGUUUUUAAAUCGCAAGUUUCAGCACCAAAGGGUCAAAACUCUGCAGAAGUAUGCAACAUGAAAGGCAGAAAAGUGUCCACUUUAUUCGAAGAACAGUUAGAGGAAGCCAUCGCCAGGGCACAGACUUUCGCCUCUCAACACCUUUUGUUGUGAUUUUAGCUUUACAAACUCAAAAAAAAAAACACACUUCAGUAAAAAAAUUACAUGUGCAAA